This 485-nucleotide ribosomal RNA is filed under the name uncultured bacterium. RNAcentral's name for it is "partial 16S ribosomal RNA". It matches the Rfam family "Bacterial small subunit ribosomal RNA", at positions 30 to 508 of the family's 1533-position model. The record is from RNAcentral.
AUUGAACGCUGGCGGCAGGCCUAACACAUGCAAGUCGAGCGGAUGAAGGGAGCUUGCUCCUGGAUUCAGCGGCGGACGGGUGAGUAAUGCCUAGGAAUCUGCCUGGUAGUGGGGGAUAACGUCCGGAAACGGGCGCUAAUACCGCAUACGUCCUGAGGGAGAAAGUGGGGGAUCUUCGGACCUCACGCUAUCAGAUGAGCCUAGGUCGGAUUAGCUAGUUGGUGGGGUAAAGGCCUACCAAGGCGACGAUCCGUAACUGGUCUAAGAGGAUGAUCAGUCACACUGGAACUGAGACACGGUCCAGACUCCUACGGGAGGCAGCAGUGGGGAAUAUUGGACAAUGGGCGAAAGCCUGAUCCAGCCAUGCCGCGUGUGUGAAGAAGGUCUUCGGAUUGUAAAGCACUUUAAGUUGGGAGGAAGGGCAGUAAGUUAAUACCUUGCUGUUUUGACGUUACCAACAGAAUAAGCACCGGCUAACUUCGUGC